Molecule: ribosomal RNA, 243 nt
Filed under: uncultured Actinomycetales bacterium
Lineage: Bacteria; Bacillati; Actinomycetota; Actinomycetes; Actinomycetales
Description: partial 16S ribosomal RNA
Rfam family: Bacterial small subunit ribosomal RNA
Source: RNAcentral
UACUCGAGUGGCGAACGGGUGAGUAACACGUGGGUGAUCUGCCCUGCACUCUGGGAUAAGCCUGGGAAACUGGGUAUAAUACCGGAUAGGACCAUGCUUUAGUGUGUGUGGUGGAAAGUUUUUUCGGUGUAGGAUGAGCCCGCGGCCUAUCAGCUUGUUGGUGGGGUAAUGGCCUACCAAGGCGGCGACGGGUAGCCGGACUGAGAGGUUGGUCGGCCACAUUGGGACUGAGAUACGGCCCAG